This 72-nucleotide transfer RNA is filed under the name Camelus ferus (Wild Bactrian camel). It matches the Rfam family "tRNA". Rfam says of the family: Transfer RNA (tRNA) molecules are approximately 80 nucleotides in length. Their secondary structure includes four short double-helical elements and three loops (D, anti-codon, and T loops). The record is from Rfam by way of RNAcentral. Lineage: Eukaryota; Metazoa; Chordata; Mammalia; Artiodactyla; Camelidae.
GAGGGUAUAGCUCAGAGGUAGAGCACAUGCUUAGCAUUCACAAGGUCCUGGGUUCAAUCCCCAGGACCUCCA